RNAcentral lists this ribosomal RNA (465 nucleotides) under uncultured bacterium. Its description in RNAcentral is "partial 16S ribosomal RNA". It matches the Rfam family "Bacterial small subunit ribosomal RNA", at positions 28 to 507 of the family's 1533-position model. The record is from RNAcentral.
GACGAACGCUGGCGGCGUGCUUAACACAUGCAAGUCGAACGCUGAACCCGCUUCGGUGGGGGAUGAGUGGCGAACGGGUGAGUAACACGUGGGCAACCUGCCCCCGGCUCUGGGAUAACUCCAAGAAAUUGGGGCUAAUACCGGAUGUGACCGCUGGCCGCAUGGUCUGGGGGUGGAAAGGGUUUCCGGCUGGGGAUGGGCCCGCGGCCUAUCAGCUUGUUGGUGGGGUAGUGGCCUACCAAGGCGACGACGGGUAGCCGGCCUGAGAGGGUGACCGGCCACACUGGGACUGAGACACGGCCCAGACUCCUACGGGAGGCAGCAGUGGGGAAUAUUGCGCAAUGGGCGGAAGCCUGACGCAGCGACGCCGCGUGGGGGAUGACGGCCUUCGGGUUGUAAACCUCUUUCAGCAGGGACGAAGCGCAAGUGACGGUACCUGCAGAAGAAGCACCGGCCAACUACGUG